AUUGAACGCUGGCGGCAGGCCUAACACAUGCAAGUCGAGCGGAUGAGAGGAGCUUGCUCCUUGAUUUAGCGGCGGACGGGUGAGUAAUGCCUAGGAAUCUGCCUGGUAGUGGGGGAUAACGUCCGGAAACGGGCGCUAAUACCGCAUACGUCCUACGGGAGAAAGCAGGGGACCUUCGGGCCUUGCGCUAUCAGAUGAGCCUAGGUCGGAUUAGCUAGUUGGUGAGGUAAUGGCUCACCAAGGCUACGAUCCGUAACUGGUCUGAGAGGAUGAUCAGUCACAAUGGAACUGAGACACGGUCCAGACUCCUACGGGAGGCAGCAGUGGGGAAUAUUGGACAAUGGGCGAAAGCCUGAUCCAGCCAUGCCGCGUGUGUGAAGAAGGUCUUCGGAUUGUAAAGCACUUUAAGUUGGGAGGAAGGGCAGUAAAUUAAUACUUUGCUGUUUUGACGUUACCGACAGAAUAAGCACCGGCUAACUUCGUGCCAGCCGCCGCGGUAA
This 500-nucleotide ribosomal RNA is filed under the name uncultured bacterium. RNAcentral describes it as "partial 16S ribosomal RNA". It matches the Rfam family "Bacterial small subunit ribosomal RNA", at positions 30 to 523 of the family's 1533-position model. The record is from RNAcentral.